This 29-nucleotide non-coding RNA is filed under the name Rattus norvegicus (Norway rat). The record is from RNAcentral. Lineage: Eukaryota; Metazoa; Chordata; Mammalia; Rodentia; Muridae.
AAAUUGUGUAAAUUGUGCUGCUAAGAAUG